Molecule: long non-coding RNA, 1112 nt
Organism: Rosa rugosa (rugosa rose)
Lineage: Eukaryota; Viridiplantae; Streptophyta; Magnoliopsida; Rosales; Rosaceae
Exons: 7
Source: RefSeq, a predicted model, not a curated record
UUUCCUCUUUCUUCUACAGUUGUGUACUCCAUCUUUAUCAAAUCAAGAACGAUCGAGAGAUAGAGAGAGAGAGAUAAAGAAAUUGGGUGCGUUUCUUUGCUUUGCACGAAGAGAUAGAGAGGGAGAUCGGGGGAAAAUCCCUAAAGCACAGAGUCAUCGCCGAGUCAAUCAAAUUGAAUCCGAUAAUUUCAGGCUAGGGUUCCAAAGUUUGAACCUUUAAUCUGAUUUUGGGAACAGUGUGCUGUCGGACAGUUUAAUUGUUUGCAAUUCAGCAUCAAUCUGGAUUUAUUGCAGAAGAGGUGGGUGUAGAGAGAGAGAGAGAGAGAGAGGUAUCUGCGUCUGCAAUAGUUGCAGAAAGUGGAAGGAGGUUUUCUAAGUUUGGGAUUUUAGUGAUUGAUUGGGAGAGGUUGAAGGUAAUAUCGAUCUUACUCGAACAAGUGUGUCGGUCAAGCUGUUGGGUGCGAAGGUAGUUGAUAGAAGCUCAAUUCAAGUUUUUAUGACAGUCAUCAAAUGUACUACCCAGUUGUCAGUAUUGUGGACUGGAGUAUCUGCCUGUUUUUGCUUCCUUGAUUGGAUCUUGCUGUAUCUAGCGUGAAGCUGAUCAGGUAAUUCAAACUUAGGAACUGUCCAUGGGGUAAAGCUUUGAAGUUCGAACUCGAUAUAAUCUUAGGAAAAAACUCGAUAUAAAGUGUUGAAACACUUAGAAAAUCCUGUACUGGCUUACAAUUUCUAUUACAUCAUUUGAUGCUGCAAUAAACUAGAAUAGAAUUCUCAACAUGAAAAUUUUUGGAUCACUUUAUUUUACAUAUUCCUUGCUUCAUUUAAAGAUCUUAUUCAUUUUUGUUAAUCAAACCAUACUCACUUACAAAAUCUGCAACUAAGUAAUCAUCGCGUAACAAUUCUGCCCCGCAGCAACGCGCGGGAAACAUUUCUAGUUUUACAUAUACUAAAGCUCCUACACUGUUCAACUAACAGUGAUUUGGCUCCAAGUGAUUUGACUCUUUUGUCCUCGCUUCAGAUUUUUUUUCCGGCUCUACCUUAUCUGGAUAUAUCCUAUCUUCGCGUCGUUUCUUUCUUCUACAAUCUUCUGACCAUCUUUAUCAAUUGUUGAG